UACAGAGGGUGCUAGCGUUGUUCGGAAUCAUUGGGCGUAAAGGGCGUGUAGGCGGUUUGCUAAGUCAUGUGUGAAAUCCCUCGGCUUAACCGGGGAACGACGCAUGAAACUGGCAAGCUAGAGUACCAAAGAGGGGGGUGGAAUUCCGGGUGUAGCGGUGGAAUGCGUAGAGAUCCGGAAGAACACCGGUGGCGAAGGCGGUUGGCUGGGCCACAACUGACACUGAUGCGCGACAGCGUGGGGAGCAAACAGG
RNAcentral lists this ribosomal RNA (253 nucleotides) under uncultured bacterium. RNAcentral's name for it is "partial 16S ribosomal RNA". It matches the Rfam family "Bacterial small subunit ribosomal RNA", at positions 524 to 776 of the family's 1533-position model. The record is from RNAcentral.